RNAcentral lists this non-coding RNA (318 nucleotides) under Helicobacter sp. MIT 05-5294. RNAcentral's name for it is "bacterial LSU rRNA". It matches the Rfam family "Bacterial large subunit ribosomal RNA", at positions 1363 to 1676 of the family's 2925-position model. Lineage: Bacteria; Pseudomonadati; Campylobacterota; Epsilonproteobacteria; Campylobacterales; Helicobacteraceae. The record is from RNAcentral.
UGCUCGUCAUCGUAGGGUUAGUCGGGUCCUAAGACAAGUCAGAAAUGGGUAGUCGAUGGAAAAUUGGUUAAUAUUCCAAUACCAAUAUUAGUGUGCGAUGUGGGGACGCAUAGGGUCGAGACAAGCUGACGGAUAGAAGUGUCAGUCGAAAGGUGCAAGUUAGGAGAUUGGUAAAUCCGCUCCCGUAUCCCAAACCCAACAGGCUCUUUGAAAUCUUCGGAUGGAAAGGAGAAUUGUUCAGAUCGUCGUGCCAAGAAAAGCCUCUAAGUUUAGCUAAUAUUGCCCGUACCGCAAACCGACACAGGUAGAUGAGAUGAG